UACGAAGGGUGCAAGCGUUAAUCGGAAUUACUGGGCGUAAAGCGUGCGUAGGCGGUUCGUUAAGUCUGAUGUGAAAGCCCUGGGCUCAACCUGGGAAUGGCAUUGGAUACUGGCGGGCUAGAGUGCGGUAGAGGGGGGCGGAAUUCCCGGUGUAGCGGUGAAAUGCGUAGAGAUCGGGAGGAACAUCUGUGGCGAAGGCGGCACCCUGGACCAGCACUGACGCUGAGGCGCGAAAGCGUGGGGAGCGAACAGG
This 253-nucleotide ribosomal RNA is filed under the name uncultured bacterium. RNAcentral's name for it is "partial 16S ribosomal RNA". It matches the Rfam family "Bacterial small subunit ribosomal RNA", at positions 524 to 776 of the family's 1533-position model. The record is from RNAcentral.